CCUUUCCGGCAUCCCGACUCCGCUGGUGCCUCUUAUGCCGUGGCCCCGAGCUCGCCGCUCUGGCCCCGCCUCACCUGCGGCCACCCCGGCCCCACCUCGCCCGCUACCACCCUGACUCCAUCGGUGCCACCUAAGCCACCGCCUAGGUCCCCCCUCACCCACGGCCGCCCUAACCCCAUUGGUGCCUCCUACACUAUGGCCCCACCU
Molecule: long non-coding RNA, 207 nt
Filed under: Elaeis guineensis (African oil palm)
Lineage: Eukaryota; Viridiplantae; Streptophyta; Magnoliopsida; Arecales; Arecaceae
Description: long non-coding RNA (EGUI_LNC034993)
Source: RNAcentral